RNAcentral lists this long non-coding RNA (265 nucleotides) under Nicotiana benthamiana. RNAcentral describes it as "long non-coding RNA (NBEN_LNC031573)". The record is from RNAcentral. Lineage: Eukaryota; Viridiplantae; Streptophyta; Magnoliopsida; Solanales; Solanaceae.
GUUCAAUCUCCCCAGCAGAGUCGCCAGAGCUGUCACACCUCCUUUUUACAAAGGCUACCCCGAAGGAUAAGUGUAUAAAGGAGUUUUUCCAUUUAAAGUGACAUUAUUCGAAAUGGGAUUAUUUAUUUAUUUAGAGUCACCACUUGGGAUAGACUUGGCUUUUGGUGUCCCAAGUCACCAAUUUGUUUUGAAUCCCAAAUCGAGGAAAUUUUCGACUGCCCAAAUGGAGUCUGCGAACCAGAAAUUCUAAGUAAGGAAGGGAAUG